CUCUGCUCCUGCAACCAGCCCGCACCCGCUGAGCCUUCGUUGCUGUGUCCUGUAUCCCAGAAGAAUGGUCACUCUGUCACCAUGGCUGGAGUAGUGGCACAAUCUCGGCUCAUUGCAACCUCCACCUCUUAGGCUCAAGCAGUCCACCUGCCUCAGCCUUCCAAAGUGCUGUGAUUACAGGCGUGAGCCACCACGCCCAGCCCAUUCUUUUACUACGUCUUCAAAAAUCUUAACAUGACACAUUUCUGUUCAGUCAAGCCACAGUUCCAGAGCUCGAUGGCCACAGGUGGCUCCUGUGUCUACGAGACAGGCAGAGGGCCAGGCUAGUGCUGCACCAUGCAUUCAGGAAGGGAGCAGGAACCUCCUCUCUUCAUUCUCUACCCUUCUCUCUGGAAUCUCAUGGGAAUCUCCUCUCGGUGACUGUUCUUAUUGCCACGUGAACAACGGACCAAGGAGGAUGGAGGUCUCUGAGGAGGGGCAGGAUUCUGGUGGGAACCGUAUGAGGGGAAACUGGGAGACAGGCAUGG
This 527-nucleotide long non-coding RNA is filed under the name Homo sapiens (human). RNAcentral's name for it is "non-protein coding lnc-RAN-4:1". The record is from RNAcentral. Lineage: Eukaryota; Metazoa; Chordata; Mammalia; Primates; Hominidae.